GAUGAACGCUGGCGGCGUGCCUAAUACAUGCAAGUCGAGCGAACAGACGAGGAGUUUCCUCCUCUGACGUUAGCGGCGGACGGGUGAGUAACAUGUGGAUAAUCUACCUAUAAGACUGGGAUACCUUCGGGAAACCGGAGCUAAUACCGGAUAAUAUAUUCAACCGCAUGGUUCAAUAGUGAAAGAUGGUUUUGCUGUCACUUAUCGAUGGAUCCGCGCCGCAUUAGCUAGUUGGUAAGGUAACGGCUUACCAAGGCAACGAUGUGUAGCCGACCUGAGAGGGGGAUCGCGCACACUGGAACUGAGACACGGUCCAGACUCCUACGGGAGGCAGCGGUAGGGAAUCGUCCGCGAUGGGCGAAAGCCUGACGGAGCAACGCCGCGUGAGUGAUGAAGGUCUGCGGAUCGUAAAACUCUGUUAUUAGGGAAGAACAAAUGUGUAAGUAACUAUGCACGUCUUGACGGUACCUGAUCAGAAAGCCACGGCUAACUACGUG
This 497-nucleotide ribosomal RNA is filed under the name uncultured bacterium. RNAcentral describes it as "partial 16S ribosomal RNA". It matches the Rfam family "Bacterial small subunit ribosomal RNA", at positions 28 to 507 of the family's 1533-position model. The record is from RNAcentral.